This 618-nucleotide long non-coding RNA is filed under the name Homo sapiens (human). Its description in RNAcentral is "HSALNT0284952". The record is from RNAcentral. Lineage: Eukaryota; Metazoa; Chordata; Mammalia; Primates; Hominidae.
UUUAUUUACUAGAACAGAACUAUUUAUUUACGAAACUUAAAAAUUGUCUUAGAAGUAGAAAAAGUUUUGAGUUUUAUAAAUGAAAUGGACAAAAUUCCACGUCUACUCUGUCUCCUUUCCUGACAUCACAUGUAUUAUGUAGUAAAUAUACUGAUUUUGUUUGGAAAAGUCCAGUUUUUAAAUUUCAGAAAGAUAGCAUGUUAUGUAGUCAAUAUUUCAUGUGUAACCAGCUGGAAUGCUUUCUAAGUGAUAUAACUAUACAUAACCCAAUAAAUAAGGCAUCCCUAUAAACUUGAAAAUCUAAUUUUUAAAAAAUUUUUGCCAGACAUUUGAAAAGUCACAAUUAGCAUGUUUAGAAAUUUACUCUGUUGGAAAAUAUUUCCAAUUUAAUAAAAAUAAACUUUGCUGAGUUUCAUAUGAAGAGAGAAAUCUUCAGAUGUAUGCCCAUUUAAAAAAAUCAUUUUUGGCCAGGUGUGGUGGCUCACGCCUGUAAUCCCAGCACUUUGGGAGGCUGAGGCAGGCGGAUCACGAGGUCAGGAGAUCGAGACCAUCCUGGCUAACACGGUGAAACCCCGUCUCUACUAAAAAUACAAAAAAUUAGCCGGGUGUGGUGGCGGG